This 72-nucleotide transfer RNA is filed under the name Bos taurus (domestic cattle). It matches the Rfam family "tRNA". From Rfam's summary of the family: Transfer RNA (tRNA) molecules are approximately 80 nucleotides in length. Their secondary structure includes four short double-helical elements and three loops (D, anti-codon, and T loops). RNAcentral also lists the same sequence under 2 other names. The record is from Rfam by way of RNAcentral. Lineage: Eukaryota; Metazoa; Chordata; Mammalia; Artiodactyla; Bovidae.
UCCCUGGUGGCUCAGACGGUAAAGUGUCUGCCUACAAUGCGGGAGACCCGGGUUCAAUCCCUGGUUCAGGAA